Molecule: ribosomal RNA, 460 nt
Filed under: uncultured bacterium
Lineage: Bacteria
Description: partial 16S ribosomal RNA
Rfam family: Bacterial small subunit ribosomal RNA
Source: RNAcentral
CCUACGGGAGGCAGCAGUGAGGAAUAUUGGUCAAUGGACGAGAGUCUGAACCAGCCAAGUAGCGUGAAGGAUGACUGCCCUAUGGGUUGUAAACUUCUUUUAUAUGGGAAUAAAAUGUUCCACGUGUGGGAUUUUGUAUGUACCAUAUGAAUAAGGAUCGGCUAACUCAGUGCCAGCAGCCGCGGUAAUACGGAGGAUCCGAGCGUUAUCCGGAUUUAUUGGGUUUAAAGGGAGCGUAGGUGGAUUGUUAAGUCGGUUGUGAAAGUUUGCGGCUCAACCGUAAAAUUGCAGUUGAAACUGGCAGUCUUGAGUACAGUAGAGGUGGGCGGAAUUCGUGGUGUAGCGGUGAAAUGCUUAGAUAUCACGAAGAACUCCGAUUGCGAAGGCAGUUCACUGGACUGCAACUGACACUGAGGCUCGAAAGUGUGGGUAUCAAACAGGAUUAGAUACCCCAGUAGUC